Long non-coding RNA from Acanthopagrus latus (yellowfin seabream), 584 nucleotides. RefSeq lists it as uncharacterized. The record is from RefSeq and is a predicted model, not a curated record. NCBI's taxonomy places the organism in Eukaryota, Metazoa, Chordata, Actinopteri, Spariformes, Sparidae. The transcript has 3 exons.
GUCGUUACAGGAAAGAAACAAACCGAGAGCAGCUGAGAGGUGAUUCAUGAGAAGCUUUUGUUUAGAUUUUUGUUUUUAUUCUACAGGCUGAAUUCAUCGUCCUGCUGAGAAUCCAGAGCAGUUUAAUAAAAGAGCAGAAGUUUCCUGAAGUGUCUCAUCGCGUUAAGAGGAGUCCUGACCUUAAAGGAGACGGUUCAGAGACGCGCAGUCACUUCCUUUUAGAGAAUACGAUGAGAAGAUGCACUGAAAUCUCAGUCGGUUGCCAGGUUUGGUACCACUGUGUCUGAACAGAGACCCAAACUAAAGCUUCAUCUUUCGACAAACUGAUCAGCGGGGGGUUCCCAACACGCCCCACACACGGACCAGGGAGUGACACUCCCACACUGCUGCACCAUUCUGAUGGCGGAUCCAUGAACACUGAUCUGACCUGAACAGUUUUCAGUUCUCAGCUGCCUUUUCCUGUGAAUGUAUGAAUCAUGAUUUUACUAUAUAACUGCCAAACUGUUCCUUCCUGACAUUUACCUGUCUGCAGUCGUUUUCUAUGCUACCUUGUUCCGACCCUGUGACCUGUGAUAUGAUAAAGA